CUAGGCUAAUUAACCUACUUAGAUGUAUGGUUAAAACUAUUAAAAGAUGGAAUGUAAUAAAAUGUUUAACAAAGCAAACAAGGGAACAAACUUGAGGGACCAAAGAUGAACAAGGGGGAAAGUUAUGUCUUAAGUAACAAACACACCCACACAAGCACACACACAUUUCGUGUGUUCUAGAACGAUCAGGGGGAACUCCCCAUGAACCAAACCCUAGUUCUAACACAAUCAUCAAAUUGAGGAGUCAAAUGAAGCUCAAAUUCACAACCAAACAUGAAUUAAGGAUCACCUACUCAAGGGGAUCAUGAGGAAUCAUGUCGAGACGGAAUCAAGCACGGAUGGAUAAUGGGUCAAGAAGUGGCGAGGAAACGAAUAUGAACACGGAUGCAUGAGGUAGGUAGAACGUACGUAUGCGUUUAGAUGAAUAUGGGCUCACGAGAGGAUCCAUACACGAAGGUAUGCACGUAUGUAGGUUUGUGUGAAGGCAGGUAAUAAGUAUGUAUGUAUGUAUGUAUAUAUGUAUGCAUGUAUGUAGGUAUGUAUGUAUGUAUGUAUGUAUGAAUGUAGGUAUGUAUGUAUGUAGGUAGGAAUGGAUGUAAUUAGGUAUGCACGUACGUAGGUACGUACGUAUGUAUGCAGGUACGUAUGUAGGACAGUUGCUAUUUGUGACCGUAAAGGUAUGUAUCAGUUUGUAUGAAAGGUAUGUACGCAUGCAUCUAAUGAAAUUGAGUACUAACGGUAAUGGUUGCGUGCUUGGUGAAUGAAGUGUAACGCAGGAAUACCAAAGAAGUCUCACUACGGAUCAUAUGAUCAGGAUGGGAACGCUGGGAUGUAAAGAGUUAACGAAACGAGAAGUAAACGUGAACAAACCUUGUAUGUUUAUAACGCGUACUAAUGAUGUGUAAUUUUAUGUGGUGAGCGCAGGUAGUACCAGUCAUGAGGAUAUCCAAGGAUUGGAGACCGAAGAUCGAGUCACUAGAGAGAUUGUACGGAAACGUUGAUGUACAUAAUGUAGUAAACAUAAGCUAUGUCUUUAACUAAUAAAUAAGAGGAUGACGGAUUUAUGAGAAAGAACUGUGUUAAAGUUAAAUCUUAAAUAAGUUGAGGUAUUUAUAGUGAAAGAAAUUUUAUGGUA
This is a long non-coding RNA of Helianthus annuus (common sunflower), 1135 nucleotides long. RefSeq lists it as uncharacterized. NCBI's taxonomy places the organism in Eukaryota, Viridiplantae, Streptophyta, Magnoliopsida, Asterales, Asteraceae. The record is from RefSeq and is a predicted model, not a curated record. The transcript has 3 exons.